Non-coding RNA from Aegilops tauschii subsp. strangulata, 514 nucleotides. Lineage: Eukaryota; Viridiplantae; Streptophyta; Magnoliopsida; Poales; Poaceae. The record is from RefSeq and is a predicted model, not a curated record.
ACAAAUAUUUAGGAACGGAGGGAGUACUUUCGAGUAAAUUGUUGGUAUAUAGUAAGUACAGUGCUGCUAUCCCGUUUUGCUCAGAAUUUACUCUGUAGAACCACAGUGCAUGAUAACAUGAACAAAAAUAUUGAUAUAUGUGGCAUGUUGAUUUUACUCCAUGACCACAGGGGAGAACAAAAAUAGAUGUACAAGCAAGCUGAAAACAAGAAGGAAAUUGAGUUGCUUUCCAUGGUUCACUCACCAUUGUUCUUAGUCCAUAAGAUAGAGCUUCAGGCUUGGUUCAAAAUCACAUCCAUGCUUAGUUUCUUACCAUCUACUUAUUGCUUGGUUAUUUAUCUGCCUAUUUUAUUGUUAUACUAGCAGACAUUCUCACAAAUCUUGCCCAAUGUUUUGACAUUUUCAGUACCUUUUCAUUGGCUAUUUCUUUGAAGCUUGAAUUACAAAAAGGAUAAAGGAGAAAUAUUGUGUACCAUGAGAGUGGGAGCACAAAAUCGUUUGGAGAUUUAUGAUG